This 436-nucleotide ribosomal RNA is filed under the name uncultured bacterium. Its description in RNAcentral is "bacterial SSU rRNA". It matches the Rfam family "Bacterial small subunit ribosomal RNA", at positions 957 to 1391 of the family's 1533-position model. The record is from RNAcentral.
GAACGCGAAGAACCUUACCAGGUCUUGACAUUGAUGGACAGAACUAGAGAUAGUUCCUCUUCUUCGGAAGCCAGAAAACAGGUGGUGCACGGUUGUCGUCAGCUCGUGUCGUGAGAUGUUGGGUUAAGUCCCGCAACGAGCGCAACCCCUAUCUUAUGUUGCCAGCACGUAAUGGUGGGAACUCAUGAGAGACUGCCGCAGACAAUACGGAGGAAGGCGGGGAUGACGUCAAAUCAUCAUGCCCCUUAUGACCUGGGCUACACACGUACUACAAUGGGAGUUAAUAGACGGAAGCGAGAUCGCGAGAUGGAGCAAACCCGAGAAACACUCUCUCAGUUCGGAUCGUAGGCUGCAACUCGCCUACGUGAAGUCGGAAUCGCUAGUAAUCGCAGGUCAGCAUACUGCGGUGAAUACGUUCCCGGGUCUUGUACACACC